AUAGCUCAGCUGGAUAGAGCAUUUGAUUGCGGUUCAAAAGGCCAGAGGUUCGAAUCCUCUU
RNAcentral lists this transfer RNA (61 nucleotides) under Campylobacter jejuni subsp. jejuni. RNAcentral describes it as "tRNA-Arg". It matches the Rfam family "tRNA", at positions 7 to 64 of the family's 71-position model. From Rfam's summary of the family: Transfer RNA (tRNA) molecules are approximately 80 nucleotides in length. Their secondary structure includes four short double-helical elements and three loops (D, anti-codon, and T loops). Further hydrogen bonds mediate the characteristic L-shaped molecular structure. tRNAs have two regions of fundamental functional importance: the anti-codon, which is responsible for specific mRNA codon recognition, and the 3' end, to which the tRNAs corresponding amino acid is attached (by aminoacyl-tRNA synthetases). tRNAs cope with the degeneracy of the genetic code in two manners: having more than one tRNA (with a specific anti-codon) for a particular amino acid; and 'wobble' base-pairing, i.e. permitting non-standard base-pairing at the 3rd anti-codon position. Lineage: Bacteria; Pseudomonadati; Campylobacterota; Epsilonproteobacteria; Campylobacterales; Campylobacteraceae. The record is from RNAcentral.